Molecule: ribosomal RNA, 448 nt
Filed under: uncultured bacterium
Lineage: Bacteria
Description: partial 16S ribosomal RNA
Rfam family: Bacterial small subunit ribosomal RNA
Source: RNAcentral
GUCGAGAAUCUUUCACAAUGGGGGCAACCCUGAUGGAGCGACGCCGCGUGGAGGAUAAGGUCUUCGGAUUGUAAACUCCUGUCAUGCGUGAACAAGGUUGCUUGGAUAAUACCUGAGCAAAUUGAUGGUAGCGCAAGAGGAAGAGACGGCUAACUCUGUGCCAGCAGCCGCGGUAAUACAGAGGUCUCAAGCGUUGUUCGGAAUCACUGGGCGUAAAGGGUGCGUAGGUGGCGUGGCAAGUCAGAUGUGAAAGCCCGGGGCUCAACCUCGGAACUGCAUCCGAUACUGCCAUGCUAGAGUACUGGAGGGGUGACUAGAAUUCUCGGUGUAGCAGUGAAAUGCGUAGAUAUCGAGAGGAAUACCAAAGGCGUAGGCAGGUCACUGGACAGUUACUGACACUGAGGCACGAAGGCCAGGGGAGCGAACGGGAUUAGAUACCCGGUAGUCC